CUUAACAAAUACCAUCAUUAUUAUUAUUCAACCAUUUAUUUGUUUUGAUUUUUGUAGGUGAAAGUGUUUUUAUGUUCAUUUCCCCCAUGGGAAUGUGGCCACUAUUCAAGUACUUAGUACAGUACAUUACACCAGAGGGUGCUCAAUAAGUGCUACGCUCAAUCAAUCAAGGAAUGAAGUUGUUCCAGUAGGGAUAAGGAAGACGAAAUUUGCAAGGGGGUGUCUCUCGUGAACCGUUCAUGGCUUCUAACGUUACACGGUGCUGUUUCUUCUUCACUCACGACUGUGACUUCCAGGGCAAGGUGUGCAGUCUGAACCAUCGAGACUGUAUUCCACAUUCCAAGUGAAAUUAUGGAUUUAUGGAUGCUAUCAAAUUUGCAAUAAAAGGUUCUAAAAGAUU
Molecule: long non-coding RNA, 400 nt
Organism: Tachyglossus aculeatus (Australian echidna)
Lineage: Eukaryota; Metazoa; Chordata; Mammalia; Monotremata; Tachyglossidae
Exons: 2
Source: RefSeq, a predicted model, not a curated record